RNAcentral lists this ribosomal RNA (431 nucleotides) under uncultured bacterium. RNAcentral's name for it is "partial 16S ribosomal RNA". It matches the Rfam family "Bacterial small subunit ribosomal RNA", at positions 29 to 507 of the family's 1533-position model. The record is from RNAcentral.
AACGAACGCUGGCGGCAGGCUUAACACAUGCAAGUCGAGCGCCCCGCAAGGGGGGCGGCAGACGGGUGAGUAACGCGGGGGAACGGACCAAUUGGUUCGUAACAACCCCGUGAAACUGGAGCAAAUACCGGAAAAGCCAUAACGGGGAAAGCAUUAUCGCCGAAAGAUCGGACCGCGUCUGAUUAGCGAGUUGGUGAUGUAACGGCGAACCAAGGGGACGAUCAGAAGCUGGUCUGAGAGGAUGCUCAGCCACACGGGACCUGAGACACGGCCCAGACUCCUACCGGAGGCAGCAGUAGGGAAUAUUGGACAAUGGGCGCAAGCCUGAUCCAGCCAUGCCGCGUGAGUGAUGGAGGCCUUAGGGUUGUAAAGCUCUUUUGUCCGGGAAGCUAAUUACUGUACCGGAAGCAUAAGCCCCGGCUAACUUCGUG